This 447-nucleotide ribosomal RNA is filed under the name uncultured bacterium. RNAcentral's name for it is "bacterial SSU rRNA". It matches the Rfam family "Bacterial small subunit ribosomal RNA", at positions 329 to 792 of the family's 1533-position model. The record is from RNAcentral.
CUCCAGACUCCUACGGGAGGCAGCAGUGGGGAAUAUUGCACAAUGGGGGAAACCCUGAUGCAGCGACGCCGCGUGAGUGAGGAAGUAUUUCGGUAUGUAAAGCCCUAUCGGCAGGGAAGAAAUUGGACGGUACCUGACUAAGAAGCCCCGGCUAACUACGUGCCAGCAGCCGCGGUAAUACGUAGGGGGCAAGCGUUAUCCGGAUUCACUGGGUGUAAAGGGAGCGUAGACGGCCAUGCAAGCCUGGAGUGAAAGCCCGGGGCCCAACCCCGGGACUGCUCGGGGAACUGUGCGGCUAGAGUGCGGGAGGGGCAGGCGGAAUUCCUGGUGUAGCGGUGAAAUGCGUAGAUAUCAGGAGGAACACCGGCGGCGAAGGCGGCCUGCUGGACCGCGACUGACGUUGAGGCUCGAAAGCGUGGGGAGCAAACAGGAUUAGAUACCCGCGUA